Molecule: long non-coding RNA, 2679 nt
Organism: Armigeres subalbatus
Lineage: Eukaryota; Metazoa; Arthropoda; Insecta; Diptera; Culicidae
Exons: 3
Source: RefSeq, a predicted model, not a curated record
UAUCAAUGCUCUUUUGUGCGAUUGUGUUAGUGAAAACAAAUUUAUUCGCCAGGUUCGGUUUUUGUCGUUUGUUGUUUUUGUUUUUCAUCGGAUGCGUCGGAUGCUCUACCGCCCUACCACCCUGUCGCCGUAGUUUGACGUUCCAUUUUUGCUGUGCGGUGAGAUAAACCCGAUAAACCGGUAAACUUGCCUAAACUUGUAAAAUUUUGCCUCGCCGAUUCGGUCGCGAUUUAGUGUUAUAACGGAGAAAACUGUUCAAGGUCCAGGAUGCGCUGCACAACAUCGAGACGCUUGUUCGGUUGCACCCGUUGCACCAUCCGAAACUGAAACCACAAACCAACUUGCUCGCCUUGCAGCAGAAGCAGACGAACCAUAAACAGAAGCAUAAUCAGACGGCAUCAACCAGCCGAUCACGCAAUCGGUAACGCCAACAGUCACCAUCCGAAUCCACCGAAGCAGUAGAUACCGUUCCUGGCGGAGGAAGCUAUCUCGCUGGCGUCACAGUUUCUGCAGACUGUUGAGCCCGAUGCAGAAUCUUGUUACGCUGGCGGUAAUAACGCAAACCGUCCCUCCCAAACGCCUACCGCAUCCAUUACCAACGCAGCGACCUCACUGUAGACCGCAGGAACCGAUGACACCACUCUGACGCCGUACGCCGCACUGCCCCAGUUUGGCUCAGCGGCAUCGGCAGCAUUAAUCACAACGCCUUUACCUAAUCCUACGAUGGCACAAACAGUGGCCGCGGCCGCUGGGAAGCAGAUCAAAGAUCCCGUUUGCCAACGUGUUGUCCAAGUGCUUCGGCUUUGUGUCGUUCGACAAUGUGGCCUCGGCACAGUCCGCCAUCCAGGCGAUGUAGGUUUCCAGAUCUGCACCAAGCGGCUGAAAGUAUAUUUCGCAGACGCAGGCUCUCCACCUACAAAGCACAUGCCGAACAGUGCCAGUAAAACAUUAUUCUACCGAGAUGUCGAUUCCACUUAUCCCUUCUGGAGGUUGAACCGCCGGAUGAGCGCGAGACGGAAACCAACAACAAAUGCAAAGAGGCUCGAAAGUACAUCUUUAAUUGUCUAGACGAUAUCGGACAGGUGGACGUGCCAACCGAUAUCGAAGGUGGCCAAUUUCUGGCGGAAAAGACUGACCGGCGGGAGUUAAUCGAUCUGCUGAAGCGAUUGUUAACGAUCGACCAUGAACGGAACCGUCCCUUGGCUCAUCUGGUGGACUCUUCCUUCUACAACAACGUCAAAGCUCCAAAUGAUGAAGGUGUGCCAUAGUAAAAACAACGAUUUACAAAAAACCUAAAUAGUUAUAACUGAAGCGUUUAACCAACGACUGCCACUUUGAUGAUAAACUUCGUUCCAAACGCCAUCACGUUCAACAACUAAGUUCAAUCAUGCGGGAGCCUGGUUCCACAUACGACAACCAUUUGUACCAGAUCUAUCGGGGCCGAAAUGUCGGUGGCCAGUACAGUAACGGUCGGCCGGAUGUUUUCCAGCAUCAGUUGGUGUCCAGCAUCCAGUGCCCAACGAAGCACGCCGCUGUCGAUGCAGCUGCCACUGCAGGUCCCACCUUAGCAGCGUAAUAAUGUUCCUUCGAGCUUGCAGAUGUUGCUGACCAAUGCGGUUCAAACGAAUGUUGCCUGGCCGCCGUGUGGAUGAGUGGUCGCCGUGUGGCAAUUGUGGUAUCGUGGUGAAACCGGACCGCUCUUGCUGAUAGUGGACUCUUCGUCUUUUCUCAAUUCGGAGGAAAUUUAUCCGAAGCUGCAUCUCUACGUUCAGACGCGGCAUCCCGAGCCGAAGAAGGAAUAGUACCGCUUAUCAUUUGGUGUGAGUAUUGUCAACCUCAUCUGAUCCUUGCUAACGCCACGACAAUAAGGAGAACAACCAACCGCGUCAAGGAAAACACCCCUCCCCAGCAGCGGUAUAACAGCGAUCGGAACAAUCACAUGUGCUAGCAGUACCAUGAUGCUGGGGGAUCAUCCUCGUCGUCGUUGUAUCACGACUGCAGCAGCAGUACCAAUUAGUUGAAAAUAUCAUAGCAACAGAUUCCGCCACAGUAGCACCACCGCCACUCAUCCUCAUCGUCACCAUAGCAGCAGCAGCUGGCACAGUCUCAACUGCAACAGACCAGCUGUCAUGGUAAUGGAAAUCACUACCAGCAUAUCGAUUCUUUCUUCUUCGUCGUGCAGGCGGCAGCAAUAGCGGCAUGAUGAUGAGCAGUGACAGCAUACAUCAUGGAUCGAGUAUCGGUUACCAUCUCGGUAACGGCAGCGCAGUUCAUAUAUACUUGUCUUCAUAGCUAAUAGCAAACGAUCACAAUUCACGAUACAGUUUUGUCACGAUGAGAAGUUUUGUCGCUUUAAGUAUCAGGAAUGAUCAAGUUCUUCUUAACAUUAUUUAUUAAAAACUGCUUAAUAAUCUGCUGUUUGCGUGUCACAUUUUAUCUCUAAAAUAUUGGAUUUGGCGCCCAAGUACAAUUUCUAACGCGAAAUGUAAUAAAAACUUUGAUACUGAACUCUUUAAUAAGUCAGUGGCUCUCAGAAAAACCGUUUGCUUUGAACUGUGAACUGGAUGCUAGGUGAUCCAGGGUGGAGCGCGAAACCAAAGCUGUCUUCAUGCUGCCUAUCCGCCGACGUGUGCUGUUUCUCCAAUAACCCAUUGAACCCAAGUCUACCCUUUCCAUCCU